This 756-nucleotide unclassified non-coding RNA is filed under the name Hevea brasiliensis (rubber tree). The record is from RNAcentral. Lineage: Eukaryota; Viridiplantae; Streptophyta; Magnoliopsida; Malpighiales; Euphorbiaceae.
AGCAAGUAAUUGGCCCUCAAAAAGGUAUGAUCUUUCCAUAUUGUAGUUUUGUCAUUGGAUUUAUUUGGUAUUGCUAUUUGUAGCUGCUAUUGAGAAACACACUAUUUUGAUUAUGUUGGUUAAACGCAAUUAAAAUGUCAUUUUAAGGUAGAACUUAGAUAGUUUGGUCAUAAACACUUCAAUAGCCAAAAAGCUGUUUGAAAUUACUCUCUACGACAUCUAAAAGGUUGUUUUUUCAAAAAUGUAGUUUCAACCUCAAUACUUCUGGAGUUAAUGUACUUGAACAACAUAUUAAAUUCUACAUCUAACAUUAACCAUUUUCAGAUUCAUAUGAAGCAUGAGACAUUGCUUGAUAUCUUUUCUGUGUUUCAGCUUGGGUUUAAUCUUUUCUCUUAUGUUCCUCAUUCCCUGCUUAUUUUCAUUAGUCUGUUUCUCUUAUGUUCCUCAUUCCCUGCUUAUUUUCAUUAGUCUGUUUUAUGGCUAUUCUGGGCUUGCACACAGAUUUACCCAUGCAUAUGCAUUUCUUUAAUAUGUAAAGGUUGAGUUGCAUUGAAGUUUGGUAGGAGUUCUCAAUAGGCUUGCAAGUUGGAAGUUGGGAUGUAUGGUUGCAAAUUGUUUAGUGUUUUUAAUGCAGGAUAGGAAGUUUAAAAUUUUAUUUAUGAAUUUUAAUAAUUAUAGAAUUAAGAAAUUUAAAGAGUUUUUAUUAUUAGGGAAUUUUAUUAUUAUUGGUUCAUCAUUUCCUAAUUUAUCUUAUUU